UGGGGAAUCUUGGACAAUGGGGGCAACCCUGAUCCAGCCAUGCCGCGUGAGUGAUGAAGGCCUUAGGGUCGUAAAGCUCUUUCGCCUGUGAAGAUAAUGACGGUAGCAGGUAAAGAAACCCCGGCUAACUCCGUGCCAGCAGCCGCGGUAAUACGGAGGGGGUUAGCGUUGUUCGGAAUUACUGGGCGUAAAGCGCACGUAGGCGGACCAGAAAGUUGGGGGUGAAAUCCCGGGGGCUCAACCCCGGAACUGCCUCCAAAACUAUUGGUCUAGAGUUCGAGAGAGGUGAGUGGAAUUCCAAGUGUAGAGGUGAAAUUCGUAGAUAUUUGGAGGAACACCAGUGGCGAAGGCGGCUCACUGGCUCGAUACUGACGCUGAGGUGCGAAAAGUGUGGGGAGCAAAACAGGAUUAGAUACCCUGGUAGUCCACACCGUAAAACGAUGAAUGCCAGUCGUCGGGGUAGCAUGCUAUUCGGUGACACACCUAACGGAUUAAGCAUU
This 500-nucleotide ribosomal RNA is filed under the name uncultured bacterium. Its description in RNAcentral is "bacterial SSU rRNA". It matches the Rfam family "Bacterial small subunit ribosomal RNA", at positions 355 to 868 of the family's 1533-position model. The record is from RNAcentral.